CAACCCACGAGUUUUCUGCUUUACUCUUCCAUUUCUCUCCCCGAUCCCCCUGCUGGGGGAGUGAGUGAGCGGCUGCGUGGGGCUGAGCUGCCGACUGGGGUUAAAGCACAAGACAAGGCAACCGGAUUCUGUGGAUCCUUUCUGAACAGUGAUGGGGCAAAUUAAGGAAAAAGAAAAGCAUUAAGCAAUGCUUGAAAAAGGACUUUGUCAGCUUCUGACUAUUUAAAACUUUUCUCAUAGGUUUGAUUUGAAAUGUCUUGGGUAGUUCUUAUGCUCACACUAAUCAGAAAAGACUCAGUUACAUGUGUUGGUAAGUGGCAAAUUCCAUAAAAGCUCCUGAUGUCUUUAGGAGAAAUCCACCUGCAGCCUGUAAUCAAACUGUGCAUCUCAAGGGAACCCUGAACUUUGCCUUGGACAGUAUGAGAGAAAGAAAUUGCUGAGGGGGGAUGUUACCCAGAUUUAAACUGGGUUUAGUAUUUUUGUCAAGAAACUGAAUAACAACAUCUGUUUUAAAAAAAGUAAUGUCUGCUUUCAAGAAUCAUCAACUACCUGCACUGACAUAUCCUUCUCCUAAUAAUCCAUAAGGGACUAUUGAAAUAAUAACAAGUUACAAAUUUGUGAGAAUUGCUUUUGUAAAAAGAUGAUUUCACCAUUAAAAUAAUUAUGUUUUUAAAUGAUUAGCCCUCACAGUCACUAUUUCAAAGUAAACUGUGUCUAUUGUUUUUGAAUUUCUGAUCAAUUUUGUCUCAUGUAGUGGGUGGGCUGCUGUCAGAUGUUUGGCAGACUACAAUGCAAAUUAAGUUUUUUAGUCUAUGGGAAUAUCCAUUAACCGUACACAUUUCCAAACUUUAAAAUGCAUGCUUGAAAAUUACAGUUGAUUAGAUUCUUUGUUGUGAAUUGCAGAACAAAAGCUGAAAAUCCAGCUCUGCUUUUCAUGUAUUAUAUCAAACAAUGAUGCAAUUCCACUAUUGUAUAGAAUAAAAGGUGUGUUCAUGUUUGAAGAACACAGUGUCCAUAAAGUUUAAUCUGCAGUCUUAUGUUCAGAGAGGUUUGUAAAUCGAUUCUUCACUAGAUGCUGUAACUCUUGUCGACUGAAGAUAAAUGGCUGAAUUCCAAGAGAAUACAACACAAAGAAAACCAUUAGCCCUGACAAUUCAUAAACAAAGUAAAGAAUAUUAGUCACUCUUUGUUCUUGUAAAAUAGUACCCAGGUUUCAAACACGAAAAAGGAAGCUCAAAUAAACCAUUGCAAUUAUUUAGUCAAAAUGUGUUUGUUUAUGAACAAAAAAAGAAAAAAGGUUGGUUUCUUUAUAAGAAGUAAAAAGAAGGAGAAGAGGCAGGAGAAACCUCCAUCGUAAUCCCAACAGCUAUGUUAAUAGGUACAGCUUUGUUUUCAGCCUUUUUUGUUUUAUUAUCUCAAUCUUGCUGACCUAUUUCUUCACUGAAAAAAGAGUGUCUGAAGCACAUCGAAUGCUUCUAGGUCAGAGGUUCCCAGCGUCUG
Long non-coding RNA from Manacus vitellinus (golden-collared manakin), 1500 nucleotides. RefSeq lists it as uncharacterized. The transcript has 3 exons. The record is from RefSeq and is a predicted model, not a curated record. NCBI's taxonomy places the organism in Eukaryota, Metazoa, Chordata, Aves, Passeriformes, Pipridae.